AAAUGCAUUCAUUGGUUAUUCUGUAUUCAGUGUAUCUAAUGGUUACUGAAUGUCAAACUAAAAUGAUUGGUGUAUGGUGAGCUCACCCAAACUAGUUGGUAACACAGCCAGUCUCCUGGGCACCUGGUUUCUGCUGCUGGUAAGGUUUGUCUUUGUGUGUCUAAAGUUGAUCAUCUCUCCUAUCAGAUGCUGCUGUGGUUGUCUGUGUGUCUUUGACUGCUGUUGCUCUGCUGUUGGGGAUCCUAGUCAUCAUUAUCUACACGUGCAGGAAGAAGAGGACAAGAGGUUAGAGACUCUAUAAAACACUACCCACACAGAAGAUGCCUAUACAGAU
Molecule: long non-coding RNA, 334 nt
Organism: Clupea harengus (Atlantic herring)
Lineage: Eukaryota; Metazoa; Chordata; Actinopteri; Clupeiformes; Clupeidae
Source: Ensembl